Podarcis lilfordi (Lilford's wall lizard) is the source of this 71-nucleotide non-coding RNA. NCBI's taxonomy places the organism in Eukaryota, Metazoa, Chordata, Lepidosauria, Squamata, Lacertidae. The record is from the annotation of a GenBank genome assembly.
GGGGCUAUGCUCAGUGGAAGAGCAUCUGUCUUGCAUGCGGAAGGUCCCAGGUUCAAUUAUUGACAUCUCUA